RNAcentral lists this unclassified non-coding RNA (531 nucleotides) under Xylella fastidiosa. Its description in RNAcentral is "partial 16S-23S ribosomal RNA intergenic spacer". The stretch from base 149 to 221 matches the Rfam family "tRNA". The record is from RNAcentral. Lineage: Bacteria; Pseudomonadati; Pseudomonadota; Gammaproteobacteria; Lysobacterales; Lysobacteraceae.
CAAGGUAGCCGUAUCGGAAGGUGCGGCUGGAUCACCUCCUUUUGAGUAUGGUGAAUAUAAUUGUCUUAUCAGGCGUCCUCACAAGUUACUUGCAUUCAGGGUUUGAUGUUGGCAUAGGUUUGGGUUUAUGUUGGCGAUUUUUGUUCUGGGGGCCUUAGCUCAGCUGGUAGAGCACCUGCUUUGCAAGCAGGGGGUCGUCGGUUCGAUCCCGACAGGCUCCACCAUGAAAGUAUUUAUGGGUCUGUAGCUCAGGUGGUUAGAGCGCACCCCUGAUAAGGGUGAGGUCGGUGGUUCGAGUCCUCCCAGACCCACCAAUGUUAUAUCAAUUAUUCUGAAUGUGGUUUGCGCAUUUUUUAUGCUUAUCAGCCUUGGAGCUGUGAAGCGUUCUUUUAUAAUUUGAUGAUGUAGCAAGCGUUUGAACUUUUUAUUAAUAAUUUCUCAUUGGAAGCCUUAAGUGACAAUGUUUAUCCAUUGUCUUGUAGAUUUUGAGGCGACUUUGGGUUAUAUGGUCAAGCGAAUAAGCGCACACGG